GAUGAACGCUGGCGGCGUGCCUAAUACAUGCAAGUCAAGCGAACGGACGAGAAGCUUGCUUCUCUGAUGUUAGCGGCGGACGGGUGAGUAACACGUGGAUAACCUACCUAUAAGACUGGGAUAACUUCGGGAAACCGGAGCUAAUACCGGAUAAUAUUUUGAACCGCAUGGUUCAAAAGUGAAAGACGGUCUUGCUGUCACUUAUAGAUGGAUCCGCGCUGCAUUAGCUAGUUGGUAAGGUAACGGCUUACCAAGGCAACGAUGCAUAGCCGACCUGAGAGGGUGAUCGGCCACACUGGAACUGAGACACGGUCCAGACUCCUACGGGAGGCAGCAGUAGGGAAUCUUCCGCAAUGGGCGAAAGCCUGACGGAGCAACGCCGCGUGAGUGAUGAAGGUCUUCGGAUCGUAAAACUCUGUUAUUAGGGAAGUACAUAUGUGUAAGUAACUGUGCACAUCUUGACGGUACCUAAUCAGAAAGCCACGGCUAACUACGUG
This 497-nucleotide ribosomal RNA is filed under the name uncultured bacterium. RNAcentral's name for it is "partial 16S ribosomal RNA". It matches the Rfam family "Bacterial small subunit ribosomal RNA", at positions 28 to 507 of the family's 1533-position model. The record is from RNAcentral.